RNAcentral lists this ribosomal RNA (496 nucleotides) under uncultured bacterium. RNAcentral's name for it is "partial 16S ribosomal RNA". It matches the Rfam family "Bacterial small subunit ribosomal RNA", at positions 28 to 506 of the family's 1533-position model. The record is from RNAcentral.
GAUGAACGCUGGCGGCGUGCCUAAUACAUGCAAGUCGAGCGAACAGACGAGGAGCUUGCUCCUCUGACGUUAGCGGCGGACGGGUGAGUAACACGUGGAUAACCUACCUAUAAGACUGGGAUAACUUCGGGAAACCGGAGCUAAUACCGGAUAAUAUAUUGAACCGCAUGGUUCAAUAGUGAAAGACGGUUUUGCUGUCACUUAUAGAUGGAUCCGCGCCGCAUUAGCUAGUUGGUAAGGUAACGGCUUACCAAGGCAACGAUGCGUAGCCGACCUGAGAGGGUGAUCGGCCACACUGGAACUGAGACACGGUCCAGACGCCUACGGGAGGCAGCAGUAGGGAAUCUUCCGCAGUGGGCGAAAGCCUGACGGAGCAACGCCGCGUGAGUGAUGAAGGUCUUCGGAUCGUAAAACUCUGUUAUUAGGGAAGAACAAAUGUGUAAGUAACUAUGCACGUCUUGACGGUACCUAAUCAGAAAGCCACGGCUAACUACGU